Long non-coding RNA from Cyprinus carpio carpio, 1192 nucleotides. The record is from Ensembl. Lineage: Eukaryota; Metazoa; Chordata; Actinopteri; Cypriniformes; Cyprinidae.
ACAGAAAUAAUAAUAAUAAUAAUAAUAAUAAUAAUAACAACAAAAUAAUUUACAUACAGUGUUUUUUACCCAUUCAACUAAAAAAGGCAAACAAACAAAUAAUUAAGUGAAUGAAUUACACUGAAAAGAAUUGUAAAAAAAAUGCCUUGUUGCAAUCAAAAUAGUUUUUCAUUAAGUAUACAUAUUAAGUUAAUUGAAUGAACUACUGUACGCUGAAAAGAAUUGAGUAGAAACUAUUUUCACUCAGAAAAUGGAUUCGACUAAACAUGAAAGUCUGAAGUAGAAAGACUGAAAUAUAUAUAAAUAAUUUUUACAGUCUUUUUUUUUUUCUGUCAAUGCAACAAUUUUUUGGUCAUUACUGAACUUACUGAACCAUAUUAAAUAUUUCUGCUGUAUGCUAUGGCUUAGUGAAUUAUUAUACAAAACAUAACAUCAACACUUGGACCGAUAACUUCAUUGUUUUAAUAUUUUGGUACAAACUUUCUGAGCCAAUUGUUCUUGUAGUGUGUGAAUGCAUGGAACAUUUAUUUCUAAUAAUUGUGAAAAACAACACUUACAAGCCCAGUGAGUUCCCUGUGCUGUCAUUUCACAUAAAAACACAGCUCUUCUCGCAGAAGCAAACACGUCGUCUGUUCUGUGGGAUAACGAAGUCUGCUGGGACUGUGGGUAGGAUGGUGUGCUUUCAAACGGUAAGUGGAUAGAGCUUAGGGGAGUGUUAGCAAUGCAGAGAAGCUUUGGCCUCAAGAUGAGCCACUCCACUGGACACCACAUACACAGAUCAGUCCACCUGCUGCCAGCAUUCUCAAUAACAGAUAAGAGCCUAUCUCUACAAACCAGAUACACAAGUCAUUUAACAUAUAAGGUGGUGGGCUGCAGAUUAUUAUUAUUAUUAUUAUUAUUGUGGCAAUCUGUCUGAGCAGCAUUUAGCAAAACUUACCACUUGCACUUUAUAGUAAAAAUUCAUUCCAUCCAUCACAGACUUCUACAAAUUGAGCCAAGUGGAAAUUUUUCCAGCCUCCAUAUGUUGGAGUUAAUGAAGCUCCUCAGGACUGUUCUGUUUGCGUUGACGCUGGGAAACUUUCUGCAAAAUUACAAAAAAGAUGUUGCAUCAUUUAAAAUAUGCUUAUUGCCUACGUAAAUAUACAAGCACAAUGGACAUAAAAAUAAAAACAAUAUUGGGUACUGAUUUACA